This 437-nucleotide ribosomal RNA is filed under the name uncultured bacterium. RNAcentral describes it as "partial 16S ribosomal RNA". It matches the Rfam family "Bacterial small subunit ribosomal RNA", at positions 29 to 507 of the family's 1533-position model. The record is from RNAcentral.
AGCGAACGCUGGCGGCAGGCUUAACACAUGCAAGUCGAGCGGGCAUCCUUGUGGUGUCAGCGGCAGACGGGUGAGUAACGCGUGGGAACGUGCCCUUCGGUUCGGAAUAACUCAGGGAAACUUGAGCUAAUACCGGAUACGUGCGAGAGCAGAAAGGUUUAUCUGCCGAAGGAUCGGCCCGCGUCUGACUAGCUAGUUGGUGAGGUUACGGCUCACCAAGGCGACGAUCAGUAGCUGGUCUGAGAGGAUGAUCAGCCACACUGGGACUGAGACACGGCCCAGACUCCUACGGGAGGCAGCAGUGGGGAAUAUUGGACAAUGGGGGCAACCCUGAUCCAGCCAUGCCGCGUGAGUGAUGACGGCCUUAGGGUUGUAAAGCUCUUUUCUCCGGGACGAUAAUGACGGUACCGGAGGAAUAAGCCCCGGCUAACUUCGUG